CAGUAGCCGCGGUAAUACGAGGGGGGCAAGCGUUGUUCGGAAUUAUUGGGCGUAAAGGGUGCGUAGGCGGUUUGUUGCGUCGGGAGUGAAAACCAGGUGCUUAACACCUGGCCUGCUUUCGAUACGGGCAGACUAGAGGCAUUCAGGGGAGAACGGAAUUCCUGGUGUAGCGGUGAAAUGCGCAGAUAUCAGGAGGAACACCAGUGGCGAAGGCAGCCCCCUGGGCCAAUACUGACGCUCAUGCACGAAAGCGUGGGGAGCAAACAGGAUUAGAGACCCCAGUAGUCCCUGUCUCUUAUAC
This 301-nucleotide ribosomal RNA is filed under the name uncultured bacterium. RNAcentral describes it as "partial 16S ribosomal RNA". It matches the Rfam family "Bacterial small subunit ribosomal RNA", at positions 509 to 807 of the family's 1533-position model. The record is from RNAcentral.